RNAcentral lists this ribosomal RNA (1214 nucleotides) under Ralstonia sp. MH5-8. RNAcentral's name for it is "bacterial SSU rRNA". It matches the Rfam family "Bacterial small subunit ribosomal RNA", at positions 68 to 1276 of the family's 1533-position model. The record is from RNAcentral. Lineage: Bacteria; Pseudomonadati; Pseudomonadota; Betaproteobacteria; Burkholderiales; Burkholderiaceae.
GGCAGCGGGGGAAAGCUUGCUUUCCUGCCGGCGAGUGGCGAACGGGUGAGUAAUACAUCGGAACGUGCCCUGUAGUGGGGGAUAACUAGUCGAAAGAUUAGCUAAUACCGCAUACGACCUGAGGGUGAAAGUGGGGGACCGCAAGGCCUCAUGCUAUAGGAGCGGCCGAUGUCUGAUUAGCUAGUUGGUGGGGUAAAGGCCUACCAAGGCGACGAUCAGUAGCUGGUCUGAGAGGACGAUCAGCCACACUGGGACUGAGACACGGCCCAGACUCCUACGGGAGGCAGCAGUGGGGAAUUUUGGACAAUGGGCGAAAGCCUGAUCCAGCAAUGCCGCGUGUGUGAAGAAGGCCUUCGGGUUGUAAAGCACUUUUGUCCGGAAAGAAAUGGCUCUGGUUAAUACCCGGAGUCGAUGACGGUACCGGAAGAAUAAGGACCGGCUAACUACGUGCCAGCAGCCGCGGUAAUACGUAGGGUCCAAGCGUUAAUCGGAAUUACUGGGCGUAAAGCGUGCGCAGGCGGUUGUGCAAGACCGAUGUGAAAUCCCCGGGCUUAACCUGGGAAUUGCAUUGGUGACUGCACGGCUAGAGUGUGUCAGAGGGAGGUAGAAUUCCACGUGUAGCAGUGAAAUGCGUAGAGAUGUGGAGGAAUACCGAUGGCGAAGGCAGCCUCCUGGGAUAACACUGACGCUCAUGCACGAAAGCGUGGGGAGCAAACAGGAUUAGAUACCCUGGUAGUCCACGCCCUAAACGAUGUCAACUAGUUGUUGGGGAUUCAUUUCCUUAGUAACGUAGCUAACGCGUGAAGUUGACCGCCUGGGGAGUACGGUCGCAAGAUUAAAACUCAAAGGAAUUGACGGGGACCCGCACAAGCGGUGGAUGAUGUGGAUUAAUUCGAUGCAACGCGAAAAACCUUACCUACCCUUGACAUGCCACUAACGAAGCAGAGAUGCAUUAGGUGCUCGAAAGAGAAAGUGGACACAGGUGCUGCAUGGCUGUCGUCAGCUCGUGUCGUGAGAUGUUGGGUUAAGUCCCGCAACGAGCGCAACCCUUGUCUCUAGUUGCUACGAAAGGGCACUCUAGAGAGACUGCCGGUGACAAACCGGAGGAAGGUGGGGAUGACGUCAAGUCCUCAUGGCCCUUAUGGGUAGGGCUUCACACGUCAUACAAUGGUGCAUACAGAGGGUUGCCAAGCCGCGAGGUGGAGCUAAUCCCA